GCCAGCCCGCUCAGAACUUAAAGGCAUUGACGGGACCCGCACAAGCAGCGGAACAUGUGGUUUAAUUCGAAGCAACGCGAAGAACCUUACCUGGUCUUGACAUCCCGGAGACCCUUAGGAAACUAGGGGUGCUUCCAUCUGGAAGAAUCUGGAGACAGGUGCUGCAUGGCUGUCGUCAGCUCGUGUCGUGAGAUGUUGGGUUAAGUCCCGCAACGAGCGCAACCCUUGCCUUUAGUUGCCAGCAGUUCGGCUGGGCACUCUAAAGGGACUGCCGGUGUUAAACCGGAGGAAGGUGGGGAUGACGUCAAGUCCUCAUGGCCUUUAUGACCAGGGCUACACACGUACUACAAUGGCCGAUACAAAGGGCAGCGACACUGCGAGGUGAAGCCAAUCCCGUAAAAUCGGUCUCAGUCCGGAUUGGAGUCUGCAACUCGACUCCAUGAAGUUGGAAUCGCUAGUAAUCGUGGAUCAGCAUGCCACGGUGAAUACGUUCCCGGGCCUU
This 502-nucleotide ribosomal RNA is filed under the name uncultured Desulfobulbus sp. RNAcentral's name for it is "bacterial SSU rRNA". It matches the Rfam family "Bacterial small subunit ribosomal RNA", at positions 903 to 1382 of the family's 1533-position model. Lineage: Bacteria; Pseudomonadati; Thermodesulfobacteriota; Desulfobulbia; Desulfobulbales; Desulfobulbaceae. The record is from RNAcentral.